GAUGAACGCUGGCGGCGUGCCUAAUACAUGCCAGUCGAGCGAACAGACGAGGAGCUUGCUCCUCUGACGUUAGCGGCGGACGGGUGAGUAACACGUGGAUAACCUACCUAUAAGACUGGGAUAACUUCGGGAAACCGGAGCUAAUACCGGAUAAUAUAUUGAACCGCAUGGUUCAAUAGUGAAAGACGGUUUUGCUGUCACUUAUAGAUGGAUCCGCGCCGCAUUAGCUAGUUGGUAAGGUAACGGCUUACCAAGGCGACGAUGCGUAGCCGACCUGAGAGGGUGAUCGGCCACACUGGAACUGAGGCACGGUCCAGACUCCUACGGGAGGCAGCAGUAGGGAAUCUUCCGCAAUGGGCGAAAGCCUGACGGAGCAACGCCGCGUGAGUGAUGAAGGUCUUCGGAUCGUAAAACUCUGUUAUUAGGGAAGAACAAAUGUGUAAGUAACUAUGCACGUCUUGACGGUACCUAAUCAGAAAGCCACGGCUAACUACGUG
This 497-nucleotide ribosomal RNA is filed under the name uncultured bacterium. Its description in RNAcentral is "partial 16S ribosomal RNA". It matches the Rfam family "Bacterial small subunit ribosomal RNA", at positions 28 to 507 of the family's 1533-position model. The record is from RNAcentral.